RNAcentral lists this ribosomal RNA (490 nucleotides) under uncultured bacterium. RNAcentral's name for it is "partial 16S ribosomal RNA". It matches the Rfam family "Bacterial small subunit ribosomal RNA", at positions 30 to 507 of the family's 1533-position model. The record is from RNAcentral.
AUUGAACGCUGGCGGCAUGCUUUACACAUGCAAGUCGGACGGCAGCACAGAGAAGCUUGCUUCUUGGGUGGCGAGUGGCGAACGGGUGAGUAAUAUAUCGGAACGUACCGAGUAAUGGGGGAUAACUAAUCGACAGAUUAGCUAAUACCGCAUAUUCUCUGAGGAGGAAAGCAGGGGACCUUCGGGGCUUGCGUUAUUCCAGCGGCCGAUAUCGGAUUAGCUAGUUGGUGGGGUAAAGGCCUACCAAGGCGACGAUCAGUAACGGGUCUGAGAGGAUGAUCCGUCACACUGGGACUGAGACACGGCCCAGACUCCUACGGGAGGCAGCAGUGGGGAAUAUUGGACAAUGGGCGCAAGCCUGAUCCAGCCAUGCCGCGUGUCUGAAGAAGGCCUUCGGGUUGUAAAGGACUUUUGGCAGGGAAGAAAAGGCGGUUGCUAAUACCGACAUCUGAUGACGGUACCAGAAGAAUAAGCACCGGCUAACUACGUG